Molecule: ribosomal RNA, 392 nt
Filed under: uncultured bacterium
Lineage: Bacteria
Description: partial 16S ribosomal RNA
Rfam family: Bacterial small subunit ribosomal RNA
Source: RNAcentral
AUACGGAGGAUCCGAGCGUUAUCCGGAUUUAUUGGGUUUAAAGGGUGCGCAGGCGGCCAUUUAAGUCAGCGGUUAAGUCGUGGGGCUCAACCCCAUUCUGCCGUUGAUACUGGGUGGCUUGAUUGCGGUCGAGGUUGGCGGAAUUCGUUGUGUAGCGGUGAAAUGCAUAGAUAUGACGAAGAACACCGAUUGCGUAGGCAGCUGACCAGACCGCAAAUGACGCUCAUGCACGAAAGUGCGGGGAUCGAACAGGAUUAGAUACCCUGGUAGUCCGCACAGUAAACGAUGAAUACUUGUUUUCGGCGAUAUAAUGUCGGAGGCAAAGCGAAAGCGAUAAGUAUUCCACCUGGGGAGUACGCCGGCAACGGUGAAACUCAAAUGAAUCGACGGGG